This 462-nucleotide ribosomal RNA is filed under the name uncultured bacterium. RNAcentral's name for it is "bacterial SSU rRNA". It matches the Rfam family "Bacterial small subunit ribosomal RNA", at positions 28 to 508 of the family's 1533-position model. The record is from RNAcentral.
GAUGAACGCUGGCGGCAGGCUUAAUACAUGCAAGUCGAACGGUAACAGUACUAGCAAUAGUAGCUGACGAGUGGCGCACGGGUGCGUAACGCGUAUGCAACCUACCCAUAAUUGGAACAUAACGUUGAGAAAUUAACGCUAAUAUUUCAUGUGAAUAUGAAGAGGCAUCUUUUUAAUUUAAAGAUUCAUUGAUUAUGGAUGGGCAUGCGUAUCAUUAGCUAGUUGGUGAGGUAACGGCUCACCAAGGCAACGAUGAUUAGGGGUUCUGAGAGGAUAUCCCCCCAACUGGAACUGAGACACGGUCCAGACUCCUACGGGAGCAGCAGUAGGGAAUAUUAGAAAUGGACGAAAGUCUGAUCUAGCGACACCGCGUGUGCGAUGAAGGCCUUGGGUUGUAAAGCACUUUUUGGAAGGAAUAGGAAGGAAGGUACUUCCAGAAUAAGUCUACGGCUAACUACGUAG